CCACAAACACACAAACAUACAACCAAAACAUGCCAUUCAUCCAACCCCAAUACCAAGAACAUACCCCAUACCACCACCAACAAAUGGACCAUCAACCUCAGACCGAACAUCACUUCACCCCCACACCAUCACCCUACCAAAGUCGCAUUAGCCAAAACACUAACCGCCCCUCCUCCUACCGUAGCCAAGAAGCCCAAACAUCACAAAACCAAAAUAUCCCACAACCCUAUGUCUUCCAAACACCCCAACAACCUUUCCAACCUUUCCUAGACGCAUCAUUC
Molecule: long non-coding RNA, 281 nt
Filed under: Lathyrus oleraceus (garden pea)
Lineage: Eukaryota; Viridiplantae; Streptophyta; Magnoliopsida; Fabales; Fabaceae
Description: Pisum sativum (pea) long non-coding RNA (PSAT_LNC010439)
Source: RNAcentral